CAUUGUUAUAUAUACCUUUAACUAUUAUUUAUAAACUGUAAUUAUAUUGAGUUUCCUAUCUUUUUUCAGUUGGUUUUUUAUGUCUUUAUAGUUUUCUAGAGAAAUGUGUUUCUCAGAUAAUAAUUCAAAUUUUGACAUUAUUUUUGGUUCCAUUGUGAAUCCUACUUUCUAUCUCUAUUUUUGACUACUCAUCAUAGGUGGAAUCAUGGUAUUUGUCCUUCUGCAAUUGGCUUAUUUCACUCAGAAUAAUUUCCUCAAGUUUUACUCCUCUUCAUAUUAUAGCAUAUGUUAGAAUUUUCUCCUUUUAAAAGCUAGAAUAACAUGCCAUUGUGUUUGUAUAUCACAUGUUGCUUAUCCAUCCAUUCAUUCAACUUGAGUUGUUUGCACAUUUUAGCUAAUGUGAACAAUGAUGCUAUGAAUAUGGGUGUACAAGUAUCUCUUCAAGACUAAACUUUAACUUAUUUUGCUUUUAUACUUAGAAGUGAAAUCCAACAGAAUCAUAUGGUAAUUCUAUUUUUAAUUUUUGUUAGAUUUUUACUCUGGAGACAGACAGACAAACACACACACACACACACACACACACACACAAUUUUUUUUGGUGGUGGUGGUAGGGAUUGAACCCAAGGCCUGACGCUUGCUCUACCACUGAGCUAUACCACCAGCCCUUUUUUAUUUUACUUUAAGCCAGGGUCUCACUAAGUUACCCAGGCUGGCCUUGAACUUGCAAUCCUCCUGCCUCAACCUCCUGAGUAGCUGGGAUUACAUGUGUUUAUCACUGUGCCUGACCCUCUGUUUAUAUUUUUUUGAUGCACAAUUAAAAGUUUUUUUUCAUGAAGUCCAAUUUGUCUAUUUUCUAUUUUGUUGCCUAUGCCUUUGGUUUUAUAUCUAAGAAGUCAUUACCAAAUUAUGAAGAUUUGCCCUGUUUUUUUUUUCUUUAAAAAGUGUUAAAGAUUAAGGUCUUUGAUAUGUAAUGAAUUUACACUAUCCAACAUGAUGUUAGUUAAGAUUCAAUUUCAUUCUUGUACCUGUUGAUAUUCAAUUUUCCUAGUAUCAUUUAUUGAAAAAGACUGUCCAUUGAAUGACUUUGAUACCCUCAUCAUUAGGAUGUAUUCUUAUCUUAAGGUAAAUUAUAUGUGGUUAUAAAACAAAACAAAUAUACUUAUCUGGCUUAUAAAAUAAAUCAUCUUUCUUCAUUUUAUCUAUCUGUUUUACUCUGUCUUGUGUAUUUCUGUUCACUACCUCUAGAGUGAUC
This 1252-nucleotide long non-coding RNA is filed under the name Marmota monax (woodchuck). Lineage: Eukaryota; Metazoa; Chordata; Mammalia; Rodentia; Sciuridae. The record is from RNAcentral.